Molecule: ribosomal RNA, 450 nt
Filed under: uncultured bacterium
Lineage: Bacteria
Description: partial 16S ribosomal RNA
Rfam family: Bacterial small subunit ribosomal RNA
Source: RNAcentral
GUGGGGAAUUUUGGACAAUGGGCGCAAGCCUGAUCCAGCAAUGCCGCGUGCAGGAAGAAGGCCUUCGGGUUGUAAACUGCUUUUGUACGGAACGAAACGGUCCUGGUUAAUACCUGGGGCUAAUGACGGUACCGUAAGAAUAAGCACCGGCUAACUACGUGCCAGCAGCCGCGGUAAUACGUAGGGUGCGAGCGUUAAUCGGAAUUACUGGGCGUAAAGCGUGCGCAGGCGGUGCUGUAAGACAGGCGUGAAAUCCCCGGGCUCAACCUGGGAAUUGCGCUUGGGACUGCAGUGCUGGAGUACGGCAGAGGGGGAUGGAAUUCCGCGUGUAGCAGUGAAAUGCGUAGAUAUGCGGAGGAACACCGAUGGCGAAGGCAGUCCCCUGGGCCUGUACUGACGCUCAUGCCCGAAAGCGUGGGCAGCAAACAGGAUUAGAACCCCUUGUAGUCC